CCUACGGGGGGCAGCAGUGAGGAAUAUUGGUCAAUGGACGAGAGUCUGAACCAGCCAGGUAGCGUGAAGGAUGACUGCCCUAUGGGUUGUAAACUUCUUUUAUAUGGGAAUAAAAUGUUCCACGUGUGGGAUUUUGUAUGUACCAUAUGAAUAAGGAUCGGCUAACUCCGUGCCAGCAGCCGCGGUAAUACGGAGGAUCCGAGCGUUAUCCGGAUUUAUUGGGUUUAAAGGGAGCGUAGGUGGAUUGUUAAGUCAGUUGUGAAAGUUUGCGGCUCAACCGUAAAAUUGCAGUUGAAACUGGCAGUCUUGAGUACAGUAGAGGUGGGCGGAAUUCGUGGUGUAGCGGUGAAAUGCUUAGAUAUCACGAAGAACUCCGAUUGCGAAGGCAGUUCACUGGACUGCAACUGACACUGAGGCUCGAAAGUGUGGGUAUCAAACAGGAUUAGAUACCCGUGUAGUC
Molecule: ribosomal RNA, 460 nt
Filed under: uncultured bacterium
Lineage: Bacteria
Description: partial 16S ribosomal RNA
Rfam family: Bacterial small subunit ribosomal RNA
Source: RNAcentral